CUUUUCUCAAGUGAAGCAUUCUGCGCUGAGACAUCUCUACGAGGAGCUCUGAUCUCCUGCAGGGGAAGGAGGCAGGUGAGGUGGAAACAGAACAUCUCAUGUGGUGCUGCAGGAAAUCAGGGCACACCUAAGCCCAGAGAAGGGUGGGGAAAGCAUGAGAGAGCACACAGCUUGACAGCACGUCACUGACCAGAGGCCAGCAAUUUACUUCCAUGUUUUGAUGCUAUUUAUAGCAAUGGAGUUGUCAGAGUCCAUCUAAACUGCGAUGGAGGAACUGGUCCACAUCUGCUCGCUACCAGGGAAGCUGAAUGCAGCCGCAGGGCAGCAGUGAGGGCAGGGCUGUCUGCCCCACCUCCAGCCUCCCAUCGCGACUGCACAGCUGCAGGUGGGUGGUGGAACUCAAAUACCCAUUCACUUCUUCUUCCUGUUCAGCAGAUUCGGUGCAGACACUUUCACUUUACCAGGAAUAUUUCUCGAUAAGUCGGUAUCCUACAAAACAUCAGAGAGGAUAAAAAAUGCAUUUCCAAGCACCUUCCUCCCCAGAUGGUGUUUGUGAGUCAGCCGACAUGAACCACUGUGCCUGCUGCUGCUCACUCUCCCCCCAGACAGUGGGAGCAGAAACGGCCUCCCAAAACCAGGGGGCUUUAUGCAGAUGAUGCUUUUGUCAGACAUGAUUCUGAUCAACAGAGGCACAAAACAGAAACCUACAGCCCAGUGAUGCUGGCGAGGCUCACGUUCUAUGAACUCCUCCCACCUGAAGCAGUAAAUCUCCCCCAGCAGUACAGAGGAGCACAGCUGACCUUUCCAAGAAGGCCAAUGGCAUCCUGGCUUGUAUCAGGAAUGGUGUGGUGAGCAGCACUGGGGAAGUCAUCCUGCCCUGUACUCAGCACUGGUGAGGCCUCACCUCGAGUACUGUGUUCAGUUUUAGGCAUCUCAGUACAGAAAGGACACUGAGGUGCUGGAGCAGGUCCAGAGAAGGGCAACAAGGCUGGGGAAGGGCUUGGAGAAUAUGGCCUAUGAGGAGAGACUGAAGGAAUUGGGGCUGUUUAGUCUGGGGAAAAGGAGGCUGAGGGGAGACCUUAUUGCUCUCUUCCAGUACCUGCAAGGUGCUCACAGCAGGGCAGGGUUGGUCCCUUCUCACUGGUGACAGGUGACAGGACGAGGGGAAAUGGCCUCAAGUUGUGCCAGGGGAAGUACUGUUUGUAUAUCGGGAAACACUUCUUUACAGAAGGGGUUGUUAAGCACUGGAAUGGGCUGCCCAGGGAGUUGGUGAGUCACCAUCCCUGGAUGUGUUUAACGACCCUUUGGAUGUGGUGCUCAGGGCCGUGAUGGAGCAGAGGGCUGUUAGUUAGGGCAGGAUGGUUGGGUUGAGGUUGGACUCGAUGGUCUUUAAGGUCUUUUCCAACCUGAGCAAUUCUAUGAUUCUAUGAUCGUAACACACUCGUUCUGUGAAGGAUUUACCCCCACCAUGGCACCAGUGGACCAUUUCCCCACUCACCUUAACGCUGCGGAACAGGUCUUUUUCUCUUGCAGUAGCUUCUUUGGAUUGCAUGAAGUUAUGCAAGGCAAUCUUUGCAGCUUUUCCUUUCUUUUGGGUGCCUGGAGUGAGCUUGACUUUGUACUUGUAGUUCGUCAUGGCUGUGUAGGGAGCGCAGAUGGGCACAGCAAAGAGCAGGAUGUCCUCAGCGUGUGGCUGGCCUGUCAGGGAGUCCAGCAGGGCUGUGCCAUCCUCCACUCCCGGCUGAUCCUGGUCUUGCUCAUCCUUCUCAUCCUGCUGCUCCUCCGGGGCCAGGUCCUCUGACUCAUGCAGAACAACGACUCCUGGCAUCAUCUCCUUGCCCCCUCCAGCACUGCGAUGCACAGCCUUGGAUUUCUGCUGUUGUUUCUUUGCCUGCUCUUCUUUCGUCUUCCCCUUUUUCCCUUUUUUCCCUUUCUCCUCUUUGUUUGACCCUGCAGACCCCAGCAGCUUCAUGAUGAGCUCCCGGUCCUCCUCAUCCUGGUCCUUGUACUUCUCCUUCAUCUUCUUCAUUUUACUCUUCUGUCCCCGUUUGAUGGGCUGAGGGGCUGGCACGCCCUUAUUGGUGUUGGGAGGGGGGGGACGCUGCGUCUCCGUGUCCUUCUGCCUCUCCUCGGGUGGAUCCAAGUUCUCAGAGUCACUUUGCUGCUUCUUUUUCUUCAUUUCUCUCCUCUCCUUGGCAGACAGAUGCCUUCGCCCCUGGGACUUGCUGUCACUCAAGUUGGGUUCCUC
Molecule: long non-coding RNA, 2248 nt
Filed under: Gallus gallus (chicken)
Lineage: Eukaryota; Metazoa; Chordata; Aves; Galliformes; Phasianidae
Source: RNAcentral